UGGUAUGUGGCAUAGUAGUUUGAGUGUUGGACUAUGACUCUGGAGACCAGGGUUCGAAUCCCAGCUCAGCCA
Phrynosoma platyrhinos (Desert horned lizard) is the source of this 72-nucleotide non-coding RNA. The record is from the annotation of a GenBank genome assembly. Lineage: Eukaryota; Metazoa; Chordata; Lepidosauria; Squamata; Phrynosomatidae.